This 440-nucleotide ribosomal RNA is filed under the name uncultured bacterium. RNAcentral's name for it is "partial 16S ribosomal RNA". It matches the Rfam family "Bacterial small subunit ribosomal RNA", at positions 338 to 795 of the family's 1533-position model. The record is from RNAcentral.
CCUACGGGUGGCAGCAGUGGGGAAUAUUGCACAAUGGGGGAAACCCUGAUGCAGCGACGCCGCGUGAGUGAAGAAGUAUUUCGGUAUGUAAAGCUCUAUCAGCAGGGAAGAAAAUGACGGUACCUGAUUAAGAAGCCCCGGCUAACGACGUGCCAGCAGCCGCGGGAAUACGGAGGGGGCAAGCGUUAUCCGGAUUUACUGGGUGUAAGGGGAGCGUAGGCGGCAGCACAAGUCUGGAGUGAAAUGCCGGGGCUUAACCCCGGAACUGCUUUGGAAACUGUGCAGCUAGAGUGCAGGAGAGGUAAGUGGAAUUCCUAGUGUAGCGGUGAAAUGCGUAGAUAUUAGGAGGAACACCAGUGGCGAAGGCGGCUUACUGGACUGUAACUGACGUUGAGGCUCGAACGCGUGGGGAGCAAACAGGAUUAGAUACCCGUGUAGUC